Long non-coding RNA from Brassica napus (rape), 5133 nucleotides. RefSeq lists it as uncharacterized. The record is from RefSeq and is a predicted model, not a curated record. NCBI's taxonomy places the organism in Eukaryota, Viridiplantae, Streptophyta, Magnoliopsida, Brassicales, Brassicaceae. The transcript has 2 exons.
UUGACCGCUAUUCCAUUUUUAACUUAGAAAACUAAAAUCUAAAAUAAUUUCCAGAGUUUCUACCAAGUCAGGUGUAUUUGUUAUUUAAAAUAUAACUAACGAGAAUUCGAUCUUGGUCCUUGAUCUAACCAUGUAAAUCUGGAAAAUAUAUUAUUUGUCUUUUUAAUUUUGUAAAUUCAAAUCAGUUAAUUUUAUUGGUUUGAGCAUUUAUAUUUUAUUGAUUGUUUUAUUAUUGCUAAAAAUGUGUUUAAAUAUAUCUUAAGUAAUGCUUAACUUUAGAAACAUAAAUUUAAACGAUUUUUAAUAUGUGUACAAUUUUGAAACAAUUUCUUAGUAUAAGAUAUUAGACAUAUGGACUAGUUAUAUGGUCCUCAUUAAGUUUUAAGGUUGGUUUUAAAGCACCGUUUUUGUUAGCAUAUUUGUUAAAAUCCUUGUUCUUCAUUUUUCUAUUUAUCUUAUCACUAUUCUGAGUUAUCGAGUGAUAAAAUGAUGGCCUUGUAUAUUUUAAAAUAUUUAAAAAUGAAAAAUAAAUGUAUUGUCCAGCAUCAUCUGUGGACCUCUUUUACUAACAAACCUUGCAUUCACCCUUUGUGGUAAAGUGUUCAAUUUAUCUCACUUUUUAUCCUCAAUUAAAGUGCCAUAUAAAAUUGAUAAAAAUUAUAUUAACAUUUAAAAAAAAGGAAAAUAGCUUGGAAAAAAAAAGAUGUUAACGCUAUUGACCAAAUCUGAUUUCUUCUUCUCUUCAUUCACGAUGAUGAAGGAAUUGACGUUGUUAACGCCAUCCAUCGGCUUCUUCUUCUUCAUCGCCCACAGAAAAGAUAGGAAGCUUUGUUUGUCAAGUUCGAGUCUCCAAUUCUAUGCUUUCAAAUCCAAUUUCGACUUCACCUUCUCCAAGCCAAAUCAAGCCAUGUUCAUCCAUGGAUUUUCUUCUUCUUCCUGCUAUUCGAACAUCACCACUGGCGUAAACCAAAAUCGAUUUUGUAGUUCUGGGAAGAAUACCAAACAACGAGGAAGAAGAUGGAGAAGGAAAAUAUUGAGCUAAAAGAUAAGUUUUUUGUUCUAACAAUACACUUUUGGCUAGAUACUAUCGUGAUUGCUUUUGGUUUUUCUGAAUCCAAUUUAGAGCUUUGGUUUCUCCUGAAAAAAUUAUGCCUGUUAAUGGAGUGUACGAAGAUGUGUGAUGUUUUGUUAAGUCUAUUACUCGGUUUGCUGUAUGAUGGCUACAAUAUUUGAUUCGUUUAAAAUGCCUUGGUUCUGGUUAUCAACCUUUCUCUGACACACAUAAUAUAUGAUACAUCAUGGUAAACUUCUUGAUAAUGUUCCAAAACCAAUUUUUCUUUUGGUUUUAUAUCUUGCUACUAUAUAUCUGUAAAACUGAUGAAUUUGAAACGGUAGACAGCCUUAUAAAUUUGCUUAUGCAAGCAGAAACACUACUAGAAAUCACACAUAGGCAGCAGAUUAAAGAGAUAGCUGACAGAGAACGUGGGUGAUAGUGCUAUGGCUCAGCAUUAUGACCAUCCUCUUCACAUACAAAUAUAUUCAAUACAAGAAUAGAGCAGUCUAUGAAGUUAAAUGAGCGACAUGAACCUUAUUUUAAUCAUACAAACCUACAUAUAGCAACAUGAACAAAAUUAAGCAAAAAUAGCAUAGCAAUAGGAGACAUGAAACAUUGAAACGAAAUUGACUCAAUUUUUAUUUUGUCACCAUCAAAAUAAAGAAACAAUAGCAUAGCAUAGCGCCCUGUUUUAAAUCUCGCUAGGCGUAAUGCGUGCGGCAAGGGUGUGCCUAGCGCCGAAUCAACUAAUCAAGAUUAUACAUAGAUUAAUCGGCGAUUUGUUUUUGUUAUGUAACUAUAUAUUUCUGUGAAUGUACCGUAAAGAUGUUGUGGCUUGGUGUUUAAUACUCAUGAAUUAAACAACAUAACCCGUGUUCGACCCUCGGUGGAGCGUUUUUUACAGAUUUUACUGUUUUUUAUUUAAUGAUGAGUAGAAACGUCAUUAAACAGUCAUCUUCUUCCUAAGGAUUUUUGGGUUUUUGCGACUGUAAACACAACGGCUGUGUAGUUUUGAUGGUUUUUGAAGCGAUUUUCUUUGUUUUUCUUGUUGUUCUUGUUUAAGAUUUCAUAGAUCUAACAUAGAUGACUCGAUUUUUAGACUAAAAAAUAAAAACUUAAGUUUUUUUUUAAAUCCGAUUUCUUCACUGUAUAGCUUCAACCGCCACGCUAGAUCACCGUUGAGCGUUUUCUCGGCCGCCGAUUCGGCUAGGCGGCCGAGUUUUCGAACAGGGGCAUAGCGUAAUUGACUCAAUCUUCUAUUGUUAUGUUCUUACAUAGACGUGACAAAAGAAGAACUAAAGAAUAUCAAAUAUGAUCGUACAUAGAUGUGAUUAAAGAAGAUCUAACAACUCUAAGCUUAUAACUAUAUGAUCGCGACAAACAAUAAUUAAAAUUGAGGUUAAUUAAAAUUGAGGUUAAUUAUGUUGCUCUAACGAAUUGACGUGAACUAAAAAACAUUAAAAAACUUGAAAGAGGAUAAGAGAGAGUAGUGCAACGUACCGAUACAAAAACGUAGCUCGAACAAGUAAGUCACACUAAGAGUUACUUGGGAGCCGCUUCCUGUUCUAAUUUUUUUAAGAGAAGUCUUGAAACAAGGGACCCAACAAAAAGCUCUUUGUAUUCUUCUCAAAACUGUUAACGGUGGCGUUCCUCUUUUCCAAGCUAUUUUUUUUUAUUAAAAAAUUUAAUACCUUUUUUUACUAAUCUUGCAUGACAGUUAGAUUGGUGAUAAGAAAUGAGGUGAAUUAGACACUUCAUCACAUGGGGUAAAAAUUUUUUGUGUUCCUCUCUUACAGUGAGGCUGAUAAACUCCCUCUCAAAAUUGAUGGCAAUGUUUUACUCUUAUUUUGGUAGCAAAUCAAAUAUUAAUUUCACUUUUUUUAUAAAAUUUGGGACACGUAAAAUACUGUUAACUAAUAAAUAAAUUUGACAUCUAACAAUAUUAAAAGGGGAAUAUGAAGCCCUGUCAACUAUGCCACGUCAGAUUGGAAAAUCAGCCUAUCAGAUAUCAUGUUAUUACCACGUCAUCAUCGAACUGGUCUUAGAUUUUGGGGUUUAACAAAAAAAAAGGGGUCCAAUUCAAGCUAUGUCACGUGUAGGAAGCAUAAACUUUUGAUCUUCUCCGACUGAUCAAGAUCUCUCCACUUCGCCGUUACUGUAACUCACUUUCAAGAAUCUAUUAUGCUCUUUAAACCUUCUUUAAUGGUUUCGUUCCACUUCCCCUCUUUCUCUUUCUAUAUAGAGAGAUUCAUCUCAUAAUAAAUCCAUUUCUAAUCGAAAACCUCCACUGAAGAAGCUACAGCUACAGCCAUUAAAUCCACCUGGAAUUCACGAGUUGUGAACUCCUGGUACAGAAGCUUCUUACUGAUGGAAAAUCCGGUACCGUCCCAUCACAAGAAAACACUGAGAUGUUUAGAGAGGCUGUGAGUAAAUUCAAUAAUUCUUUUACUAAAGUUUGAAUCUUGGAACAUGAAUCUUUGAAUUGUGUCUAAAUCUAUAUGUUUUGUUCGUUUCUGUAUCAGACGAAAUCAAGGCUGAAGAUGUUGAUGUGAACCCUAAGAUGACGUUGCGUAUGCAUCUAUGUUCCCUUCUCUUCAGUUUAGCCUAUUCUAUUUUCGGUUUUAUUGUAUAAAAAUCAUCCCCAACUUGUAGUUUUUCCCCCCACUGAUGACACUCUUUUCUUUACAUACUAUGCAUAUGAGUGUGUGAGCUAAGCUUGCUUGAUGAAUUGUUUGGCAAUUGGUUACCUUUUGAUUAAUAGAGAUCCUUACUUUUAGAUACUAUUUGCAGGCUUACGUCAGCCCACAACAACCAUAAGUUUAUUCCCUUGUGAAGCUUCCAUGGCGGCGGCUCAAAGAUUUAAUAUGUUUCCUCUGCAAGCUUUUCUACCUUAUCUUCCUGUCUCUCCAAAUGUGUGAGGGAAUGAAAACAUAUGUGUGGUUCAUACGCCCGCCAUUCAUAGGUUUAAGACAGAAGAAGUACUGAAAAAUGAAGUUAAGAAGAGAGACCUUUUUAUAACCUUUGCCUUUGCUUUCUUCAAGAGUGAGACUCUUUGUAUCAUGCACAAUGAAGUAUAUGAAGAGAAACAGAACGCAUAUCACCCAAAUCCACAGAUCAAUACUCAAGCUCCUGCAGAAAAAAAUACCAUGUGAGCUAAAACCUCCAAAACUUGAUUGUUCGUAUUUACAGUGAUCUGUAGCUCAGAAACAAUAUUUAAUACUGAUUUGGUCAGCCGAGAACUAAAUGGGGAAUAUCUAGAGGGAGCAUCUCGAUAGAUCUGCAGUGCGGGUCCAAGCCAUGUUCAGGUCUAUGAAAGCUCAAGACGAUGAAGCUCAUGUAAGAUUAUGUUUUGAUUUUAUCAUUUUCUGAACCUCUCAGUUUAGAAAACACACACACAGACUAAAUGAUACUUGAAUAAAAAGAGUAUUUGUUUAUGGUGUGAUGCAGUUGGAGUAUGAGUUUGCAAGAUAUUUGGUCAGAAUAGCGGCUAAGAGAUGUGAAUCUAAGAGAAUUUGGUGUCGAGAUUAUAUUAACGGAAAGGGUACUCACCACCUCCGAAACUGGCUUUGGAUCAAAUAUUAUAAUGAUAUAAUCAAAUAGUUGAAGAUAGACUACUGGUUUUUGUCUUUUUGUUGAAACAGCUUCUCAGACUUGAGAUCAAGGUAUUGUUUUACUAUAUCCAUGUUGUAUUUUGGAGAUCUUUUUGGAUCAUUCACUAUGGUUUUGAUUGUGUUUAAUGAUUCAAUGUUUUUUUUUUUUGAAUCAGAAAGAACUAGCUCAAAUAUUUGAGAGAGCAAAGUCUGUGGAUCUGUAUCCUACAGAACCAUGGUAAUUUCAAGCAUUUGAUUAUUCUUUCAUGCAGCUUAGUUGUAGUGAUUGAAAGACAACUUUAGACCACUUGGUAUCCUUAAUUUUGUGGAGUAGAAGCAUGUAUGGUGCUUUUAUAGUUUUUACUUUUAUUUUCUACUAGCUUGACUGGGAACUGAUAUCACAUUAUCUGCAGGUUUCUAGUAAGUUUCUGUUCUGGAACUUUGUGUAUUUGGAACUACCGGACAUAUAUGGGUGAAUAAUUUUAUUUU